RNAcentral lists this ribosomal RNA (512 nucleotides) under uncultured bacterium. RNAcentral describes it as "partial 16S ribosomal RNA". It matches the Rfam family "Bacterial small subunit ribosomal RNA", at positions 29 to 507 of the family's 1533-position model. The record is from RNAcentral.
UAUUAACGCUGGCGGCGUGCCUAAUACAUGCAAGUCGAACGAAACUUCUUUAUCACCGAGUGCUUGCACUCACCGAUAAAGAGUUGAGUGGCGAACGGGUGAGUAACACGUGGGCAACCUGCCCAAAAGAGGGGGAUAACACUUGGAAACAGGUGCUAAUACCGCAUAACCAUAGUUACCGCAUGGUAACUAUGUAAAAGGUGGCUAUACUACCGCUUUUGGAUGGGCCCGCGGCGCAUUAGCUAGUUGGUAGGGUAAAGGCUUACCAAGGCAAUGAUGCGUAGCCGAAUUGAGAGGUUGAUCGGCCACAUUGGGACUGAGACACGGCCCAAACUCCUACGGGAGGCAGCAGUAGGGAAUCUUCCACAAUGGGCGAAAGCCUGAUGGAGCAACGCCGCGUGGGUGAAGAAGGUCUUCGGAUCGUAAAACCCUGUUGUUAGAGAAGAAAGUGCGUGAGAGUAACUGUUCACGUUUCGACGGUAUCUAACCAGAAAGCCACGGCUAACUACGUG